GCCAAGAAAUAUUCUAUUAUUUCUUAUUAAGGCAUAUUAAGUAUUUGAAAAAGUCUGACUUCAUAAGUUUUGAUCAACGAUUAGUUAAAUAGUAUCUAUGCUUAGUGGAAAUGAGUUAUACAGCUAUUUCACAUAUUUUCAAUAUGAUAUUAAUUUUAUAAUAAUUGAUAAUGUAUUCCAAGAUAAAUCAAUGGUCAAUUUUUUUUCCAAAUACGUGGAAUCUAUUUUUUUGGAAACACACAAACGAUCACAAAU
Molecule: long non-coding RNA, 255 nt
Filed under: Setaria viridis
Lineage: Eukaryota; Viridiplantae; Streptophyta; Magnoliopsida; Poales; Poaceae
Description: long non-coding RNA (SVIR_LNC010424)
Source: RNAcentral